GUGAGGAAUAUUGGACAAUGGGCGCAAGCCUGAUCCAGCCAUGCCGCGUGCAGGAAGACGCAUCUAUGGUAUGUAAACUGCUUUUGUACGGGAAGAAACACUCCCUCGUGAGGGAGCUUGACGGUACCGUAAGAAUAAGGAUCGGCUAACUCCGUGCCAGCAGCCGCGGUAAUACGGAGGAUCCAAGCGUUAUCCGGAAUCAUUGGGUUUAAAGGGUCCGUAGGCGGUUUAAUAAGUCAGUGGUGAAAGCCCAUCGCUCAACGAUGGAACGGCCAUUGAUACUGUUAGACUUGAAUUACAAGGAAGUAACUAGAAUAUGUAGUGUAGCGGUGAAAUGCUUAGAUAUUACAUGGAAUACCAAUUGCGAAGGCAGGUUACUACUUGUGGAUUGACGCUGAUGGACGAAAGCGUGGGGAGCGAACAGGAUUAGAUACCCUUGUAGUCC
RNAcentral lists this ribosomal RNA (445 nucleotides) under uncultured bacterium. RNAcentral describes it as "partial 16S ribosomal RNA". It matches the Rfam family "Bacterial small subunit ribosomal RNA", at positions 354 to 796 of the family's 1533-position model. The record is from RNAcentral.